CCUACGGGGGGCAGCAGUGGGGAAUAUUGGACAAUGGGGGCAACCCUGAUCCAGCCAUGCCGCGUGUGUGAAGAAGGCCCUCGGGUUGUAAAGCACUUUCAGUGAGGAAGAACGCCUGGUGGUUAAUACCCAUCAGGAAAGACAUCACUCACAGAAGAAGCACCGGCUAACUCCGUGCCAGCAGCCGCGGUAAUACGGAGGGUGCGAGCGUUAAUCGGAAUUACUGGGCGUAAAGCGCGCGUAGGUGGCUUGAUAAGCCGGUUGUGAAAGCCCCGGGCUCAACCUGGGAACGGCAUCCGGAACGGUCAAACUAGAGUGCAGGAGAGGAAUGUAGAAUUCCCGGUGUAGCGGUGAAAUGCGUAGAGAUCGGGAGGAAUACCAGUGGCGAAGGCGGCCUUCUGGACUGACACUGACACUGAGGUGCGAAAGCGUGGGUAGCAAACAGGAUUAGAUACCCUUGUAGUC
RNAcentral lists this ribosomal RNA (465 nucleotides) under Vreelandella stevensii. RNAcentral describes it as "partial 16S ribosomal RNA". It matches the Rfam family "Bacterial small subunit ribosomal RNA", at positions 338 to 795 of the family's 1533-position model. The record is from RNAcentral. Lineage: Bacteria; Pseudomonadati; Pseudomonadota; Gammaproteobacteria; Oceanospirillales; Halomonadaceae.